This 405-nucleotide ribosomal RNA is filed under the name uncultured bacterium. RNAcentral's name for it is "partial 16S ribosomal RNA". It matches the Rfam family "Bacterial small subunit ribosomal RNA", at positions 28 to 526 of the family's 1533-position model. The record is from RNAcentral.
GAUGAACGCUGGCGGCGUGCCUAACACAUGCAAGUCGAGCGAAGCGGGGACGGGUGAGAAUCACGUGGAUAACCUCCCAUAAGACUGGGAUAACUUCGGGAAACCGGAGCUAAACCGGCUUCUUAUAGAUGGAUCCGCGCUGCAUUAGCUAGUUGGUAAGGUAACGGCUGACCAAGGCAACGAUACAUCGCCGACCUGAGAGGAUGACCAGCCACACUGGAACUGAGACACGGUCCAGACUCCUACGGGAGGCAGCAGUGGGGAAUCUUCCACAAUGGGCGAAAGCCUGACAGAGCAACGCCGCGUGAGUGAUGAAGGUCUUCGGUUCGUAAAGCUCUGUUAUUGGGGAGGCGGUACCUGAUCAGAAAGCCACGGCUAACUACGUGCCAGCAGCCGCGGUAAUAC